GAAGGUUUUCGGAUCGUAAAGCUCUGUUGUUAGGGAAGAACAAGUACCGUUCGAAUAGGGCGGUACCUUGACGGUACCUAACCAGAAAGCCACGGCUAACUACGUGCCAGCAGCCGCGGUAAUACGUAGGUGGCAAGCGUUGUCCGGAAUUAUUGGGCGUAAAGGGCUCGCAGGCGGUUUCUUAAGUCUGAUGUGAAAGCCCCCGGCUCAACCGGGGAGGGUCAUUGGAAACUGGGGAACUUGAGUGCAGAAGAGGAGAGUGGAAUUCCACGUGUAGCGGUGAAAUGCGUAGAGAUGUGGAGGAACACCAGUGGCGAAGGCGACUCUCUG
This 330-nucleotide ribosomal RNA is filed under the name Bacillus subtilis. Its description in RNAcentral is "bacterial SSU rRNA". It matches the Rfam family "Bacterial small subunit ribosomal RNA", at positions 410 to 731 of the family's 1533-position model. The record is from RNAcentral. Lineage: Bacteria; Bacillati; Bacillota; Bacilli; Caryophanales; Bacillaceae.